This 208-nucleotide long non-coding RNA is filed under the name Capsella rubella. Its description in RNAcentral is "long non-coding RNA (CRUB_LNC003086)". The record is from RNAcentral. Lineage: Eukaryota; Viridiplantae; Streptophyta; Magnoliopsida; Brassicales; Brassicaceae.
UCGAUGAUCACUUGUUCAGCCAGUCGAACCCCGAACUGCUCUCUCUACAGAAACUACCAUUCCACCAAGAAUCUCGAUCAACUCUACUCGAUCUCGAUAACUGCCGAUCAUACCGACAAAUGUUAGUAACCGCUAGACAGAACUCAGUAACAUAGAUUUUCUCUCGGCAUAACUGACAGAUCUCGACAAAUUCCUCUGCAGAACUCGU